Molecule: non-coding RNA, 603 nt
Organism: Paramuricea clavata
Lineage: Eukaryota; Metazoa; Cnidaria; Anthozoa; Malacalcyonacea; Plexauridae
Source: the annotation of a GenBank genome assembly
AAGAAUUCCGUUCUGAAUUCGUGUUUAUUUCCCAAGUGUUAGUGUGAGCCAUUUAUUUGUCGUGCAAAGCGGUAAUUAUGCCUGCAUGGUUGUGAAGUGGUUUUAGUCAUUCGAAAUGUAUUCCCAGACAGCUUCCUUAAUUGUUGGGACCGAAAGAUUGUUGUACGAAUCUACGAAUAACUCUCGUAUUUGUACAAUUUCUGAAAUAUCAAUAUAUGACAAAGUCAGUGCCGUGUUACUAAACUUAACUUUGGAAAUACUGUUAUAAUAUAUGUGAUCAGGAGAAUUAUUAAAGCAUGGUGCCUCGUAUGGUUGCCGUCUUGAAGCAGUCAAUAUACAGUAUACAUAUAUGCGCUUUGGAGUUGGGGGUAAGUAGACAAGUGUUUUGUGUCGUAGGUAAUGAUAUCUUGACAGCAUCGUCGCCGAAAUAAUUUGUUCCAAAUUUAUAUAUUCCAGUACUUAUAUCUAUUAUGAUAGUUAAUUAAACACGGCUUGUGGAAAGCAUGCCAGUUUGAAUGGAAAUUAAAUAUACGCCAAUUUUAGUCGACAAAAUAUGAAUUAAGAUUUUUUACUUGUCUAAGGGAGUUAAGAGUAAGACAAGUG